This 66-nucleotide transfer RNA is filed under the name Dipodomys ordii (Ord's kangaroo rat). It matches the Rfam family "tRNA". Rfam says of the family: Transfer RNA (tRNA) molecules are approximately 80 nucleotides in length. The record is from Rfam by way of RNAcentral. Lineage: Eukaryota; Metazoa; Chordata; Mammalia; Rodentia; Heteromyidae.
GGUGGCUCAGUGGUAGAGUGCUUGCCUUGCUAUGCAUGAGGACCUGGGUUCGAUUCCUCAGCACCA